This 448-nucleotide ribosomal RNA is filed under the name uncultured bacterium. Its description in RNAcentral is "partial 16S ribosomal RNA". It matches the Rfam family "Bacterial small subunit ribosomal RNA", at positions 28 to 523 of the family's 1533-position model. The record is from RNAcentral.
GACGAACGCUGGCGGCAUGCCUAACACAUGCAAGUCGAACGAGAUCUUCGGGUCUAGUGGCGCACGGGUGCGUAAUGCGUGGGAAUCUGCCCUUUGGUUCGGAAUAACAGUUGGAAACGACUGCUAAUACCGGAUGAUGACGAAAGUCCAAAGAUUUAUCGCCAGAGGAUGAGCCCGCGUAGGAUAGCUAGUUGGUGUGGUAAAGGCGCACCAAGGCGACGAUCCUUAGCUGGUCUGAGAGGAUGAUCAGCCACACUGGGACUGAGACACGGCCCAGACUCCUACGGGAGGCAGCAGUGGGGAAUAUAGGACAAUGGGCGAAAGCCUGAUCCAGCAAUGCCGCGUGAGUGAUGAAGGCCUUAGGGUUGUAAAGCUCUUUUACCCGGGAUGAUAAUGACAGUACCGGGAGAAUAAGCUCCGGCUAACUCCGUGCCAGCCGCCGCCGUAA